AGGCGACGAUCCCUAGCUGGUCUGAGAGGAUGACCAGCCACACUGGAACUGAGACACGGUCCAGACUCCUACGGGAGGCAGCAGUGGGGAAUAUUGCACAAUGGGCGCAAGCCUGAUGCAGCCAUGCCGCGUGUAUGAAGAAGGCCUUCGGGUUGUAAAGUACUUUCAGCGGGGAGGAAGGGAGUAAAGUUAAUACCUUUGCUCAUUGACGUUACCCGCAGAAGAAGCACCGGCUAACUCCGUGCCAGCAGCCGCGGUAAUACGGAGGGUGCAAGCGUUAAUCGGAAUUACUGGGCGUAAAGCGCACGCAGGCGGUUUGUUAAGUCAGAUGUGAAAUCCCCGGGCUCAACCUGGGAACUGCAUCUGAUACUGGCAAGCUUGAGUCUCGUAGAGGGGGGUAGAAUUCCAGGUGUAGCGGUGAAAUGCGUAGAGAUCUGGAGGAAUACCGGUGGCGAAGGCGGCCCCCUGACGAAGACUACGUCAG
RNAcentral lists this ribosomal RNA (484 nucleotides) under Escherichia sp. RNAcentral's name for it is "bacterial SSU rRNA". It matches the Rfam family "Bacterial small subunit ribosomal RNA", at positions 271 to 749 of the family's 1533-position model. The record is from RNAcentral. Lineage: Bacteria; Pseudomonadati; Pseudomonadota; Gammaproteobacteria; Enterobacterales; Enterobacteriaceae.